UCCAGCAGGGGAUUGCCUCAGUACGGCGAGUGAAGCGGCAAAAGCUCAAAUUUGAAAUCUAGCACCUUCGGUGUUCGAGUUGUAAUUUGAAGAUGGUAACCUUGGGUUUGGCUCUUGUCUAUGUUCCUUGGAACAGGACGUCAUAGAGGGUGAGAAUCCCGUCUGAUGAGAUGCCCAUUCCUAUGUAAGGUGCUAUCGAAGAGUCGAGUUGUUUGGGAAGGGAGCUCUAAGUGGGUGGUAAAUUCCAUCUAAAGCUAAAUAUUGGCGAGAGACCGAUAGCGAACAAGUACAGUGAUGGAAAGAUGAAAAGAACUUUGAAAAGAGAGUGAAAAAGUACGUGAAAUUGUUGAAAGGGAAGGGCAUUAGAUCAGACUUGGUGUUUUACGAUUAUCUUCUCUUCUUGAGUUGUGCACUCGUAUUUCACUGGGCCAGCAUCGAUUCGGAUGGCAAGAUAAUGGCAGUUGAAUGUGGCUUCACUUCGGUGGAGUGUUAUAGCUUCUGCUGAUAUUGCCUGUCUGGAUCGAGGGCUGCGUCUUUUGACUAGGAUGCUGGCGUAAUGAUCUAAUGCCGCCCGUCUGAAAAACCGGGACCAA
RNAcentral lists this ribosomal RNA (593 nucleotides) under Hansenula anomala. RNAcentral's name for it is "eukaryotic LSU rRNA". It matches the Rfam family "Eukaryotic large subunit ribosomal RNA", at positions 64 to 669 of the family's 3401-position model. Lineage: Eukaryota; Fungi; Ascomycota; Saccharomycetes; Phaffomycetales; Wickerhamomycetaceae. The record is from RNAcentral.